CGUACACUCCUACGGGAGGCAGCAGUGGGGAAUAUUGCACAAUGGGCGCAAGCCUGAUGCAGCCAUGCCGCGUGUAUGAAGAAGGCCUUCGGGUUGUAAAGUACUUUCAGCGGGGAGGAAGGCGAUAAGGUUAAUAACCUUGUCGAUUGACGUUACCCGCAGAAGAAGCACCGGCUAACUCCGUGCCAGCAGCCGCGGUAAUACGGAGGGUGCAAGCGUUAAUCGGAAUUACUGGGCGUAAAGCGCACGCAGGCGGUCUGUCAAGUCGGAUGUGAAAUCCCCGGGCUCAACCUGGGAACUGCAUUCGAAACUGGCAGGCUAGAGUCUUGUAGAGGGGGGUAGAAUUCCAGGUGUAGCGGUGAAAUGCGUAGAGAUCUGGAGGAAUACCGGUGGCGAAGGCGGCCCCCUGGACAAAGACUGACGCUCAGGUGCGAAAGCGUGGGGAGCAAACAGGAUUAGAUACCCGUGUAGUCCCA
Molecule: ribosomal RNA, 476 nt
Filed under: uncultured organism
Description: partial 16S ribosomal RNA
Rfam family: Bacterial small subunit ribosomal RNA
Source: RNAcentral